This is a long non-coding RNA of Drosophila sechellia, 807 nucleotides long. RefSeq lists it as uncharacterized. The record is from RefSeq and is a predicted model, not a curated record. The transcript has 2 exons. NCBI's taxonomy places the organism in Eukaryota, Metazoa, Arthropoda, Insecta, Diptera, Drosophilidae.
ACAGCUGUUCCGGAAAUCAAGAAAAAAUAAACAGUUAUUAAAAAUAUAUUAGAGAAUGCUAUAAUUAACAAAAAAAAAAAUUGGCUGAUACAGAAAAAGGCUGUAACUUAAGUUUAAAUAUAUUGUAAGCAUCUGACUUAAUUUACCCUAUAAGAGUAUUUGCCUUCAAUAUUGCGACUACUCAAAUAUAGAUAUUCCAAAUAAUACCAAGAGAGAAUAAAAAUACCAGAAGAAUAAAAAUAAUACCAAUAGAAUAGUCAGAUACCCGUUACUCAGAAAAUGAAAAUGACAACGCGAAGUUGGGAUAUAAAAUGAGAAAAAAUAUAAAAAUGGUUCGAGUUGUGGGCGUUGUGGGUCAAACGCCGUUAUGACCGUUUUGCGAGGAGGGGCGUGUCUAAAGUGUUUUUUAUAUACCGAUAGAAAAAUCAAAACAAAAGUGUGGGCUUGGCAGCUUUUGGCUGUUUGUGGGCGUUAGAGAGUGCGUGGCAACAUUUGGCUUACGCUGCGUCUAUGUCUCUGGAAGCUGCAUGAAAAUAUUAAUAUUCUAGCUUUUAUAGUACCUGAGAUCCCGACGUUCAUACGGACGGAGUGACAGACCGAUGUGGCCAGGUCGACUCGUCUAGUGAUCUCGAUCAAGAAUAUAUUUACUUUUUAUGGUGGGAAACGCUUCCUUCUACCUGUUACAUACUUUUCAACGAAUCUAGUAUUCCCAUUUCGCUCUACAAGUAACGGGUAUAAAAAUGUAUAGAGAGAAAGUGGAACCGGAAUACAUAAAUGUAAUAAAGAUGUGUUUACUUAAAACAAGAA